CAUAUCAAUAAGCGGAGGAAAAGAAACUAACAAGGAUUCCCCUAGUAACGGCGAGUGAAGCGGGAAGAGCUCAAGCUUAAAAUCUCCGUGCAAGUUUUGCGCGGCGAAUUGUAGUCUAUAGAGGCGUGGUCAGCGUGGGCGCUUGGGGCAAGUUCCUUGGAAGAGGACAGCAUGGAGGGUGAUACUCCCGUUCAUCCCUGAGUGGCUCGUGCGUACGACCCGUGUUCUUUGAGUCGCGUUGUUUGGGAAUGCAGCGCAAAGUAGGUGGUAAAUUCCAUCUAAAGCUAAAUAUUGGUGCGAGACCGAUAGCGAACAAGUACCGUGAGGGAAAGAUGAAAAGAACUUUGAAAAGAGAGUUAAAGAGUACCUGAAACUGCUGAAAGGGAACCGAAUCGUUUCCAGUGUCUAUAAUCCGUGGCAUAUUUCAUUGGCGAGUGUGUGCGCGCGUGCGCUGUGGCAGCGGCUUUUUUGGCUGCGCUCGGUGCGUGUGUUGUGUGUGCUUGCUGGUGCCCUGUGCUGCGGUGGGACGUCAAGGUCAGUUCGUAUGCUGCGGGAAAUGGCUGCCGAGGAGGUAGGGCUUACGCUCUGCGUUUGUCUAUUAUAUCUUGGUGGACGAGUCGUCGCGGUUGGGACUGAGGUGCCUACAACGUGCUUUUGAGUGGGUGUGUGUCUCCGUGUGCGCCGUGUGCGGAUAGCUUGCUAUGCGUGUGUGGUUGUGUGUGGAUUGAUGCGUGCCUUAACUUGUCGCCGUUCGGGACGUUGACGAAAUGGAGCGAUCCGAC
RNAcentral lists this ribosomal RNA (782 nucleotides) under Phytophthora borealis. RNAcentral describes it as "eukaryotic LSU rRNA". It matches the Rfam family "Eukaryotic large subunit ribosomal RNA", at positions 39 to 648 of the family's 3401-position model. Lineage: Eukaryota; Oomycota; Peronosporomycetes; Peronosporales; Peronosporaceae. The record is from RNAcentral.